Molecule: ribosomal RNA, 478 nt
Filed under: uncultured bacterium
Lineage: Bacteria
Description: bacterial SSU rRNA
Rfam family: Bacterial small subunit ribosomal RNA
Source: RNAcentral
AUGAACGCUAGCGGCAGGCUUAAUACAUGCAAGUCAAGGGGUAGCAAUACAACCGGCGCACGGGUGAGUUAACGCGUACACAACAUCGCCAUUAGUACUGGGGGUAUAGACUUUGGGAAACUGAAGGUAAUCCCCCAUAGUAUUGCGGGUAGGCAUCUAUCUGCAAUUAAAGUUUCGACGGUAUAUGAUUGGUGUGCGUUCCAUUAGCUAGUUGGUAGGGUAAUGGCCUACCAAGGCGACGAUGGUUAGCUGGUCUGAGAGGAUGAUCAGCCACACUGGAACUGAGACACGGUCCAGACUCCUACGGGAGGCAGCAGUGAGGAAUAUUGCGCAAUGGGGGCAACCCUGACGCAGCAACGCCGCGUGAGUGAGGAAGGUUUUCGGACUGUAAAGCUCUGUCGAGCGGGAAGAAAUGCCUGAUGGCUAAUAUCCAUCAUGCUUGACGGUACCGCUAGAGGAAGCACCGGCUAACUCCGUG